AUGAAGUCAUCCAUGGGAGCUUUUAUCAUGUUCUCGUGGCUGCAGCUGAAUUGGUUCAGCCGGGGAGAGAAUGUGGAGCAGCAUCCUUCUACCCUGAGUGUCCAGGAGGGAAGCAGCUCUGUUAUCAACUGCAGUUAUUCAGAUAGUGCCUCAAGUUACUUCCCCUGGUAUAAGCAAGAACUUGGGAAUGGUCCCCAGCUCCUUAUAGACAUUCGUUCAACCGUGGCCACAAAAGAAGACCAAAGACUCACUCUUUCAUUGAAUAAGACGGCCAAACGUUUCUCCCUGCACAUCAGAGACACCCAGCCUGAAGACUCAGCUGUGUACUUCUGCGCAGCAAGCACACAUUGUUUCCCAGGCACCUGCUGCCUGCACUCAAACCUGGGACUAGGGAAGCCCCUGUCCUCUGACACAGACCUUCGAGUAUAG
Lutra lutra (Eurasian river otter) is the source of this 429-nucleotide non-coding RNA. Lineage: Eukaryota; Metazoa; Chordata; Mammalia; Carnivora; Mustelidae. The record is from the annotation of a RefSeq genome assembly.